GCGCCCGUAGCUCAGCUGGAUAGAGCGCCGGACUUCGAAUCCGUAGGCCGGGGGUUCGAGUCCCUCCGGGCGCGCCA
RNAcentral lists this transfer RNA (77 nucleotides) under Desulfosudis oleivorans Hxd3. Its description in RNAcentral is "tRNA-Arg (TCG) (tRNA-Arg-TCG-1-1)". It matches the Rfam family "tRNA". Rfam says of the family: Transfer RNA (tRNA) molecules are approximately 80 nucleotides in length. Their secondary structure includes four short double-helical elements and three loops (D, anti-codon, and T loops). RNAcentral also lists the same sequence under 1 other name. The record is from RNAcentral. Lineage: Bacteria; Pseudomonadati; Thermodesulfobacteriota; Desulfobacteria; Desulfobacterales; Desulfosudaceae.